RNAcentral lists this long non-coding RNA (1629 nucleotides) under Homo sapiens (human). RNAcentral's name for it is "HSALNT0227999". Lineage: Eukaryota; Metazoa; Chordata; Mammalia; Primates; Hominidae. The record is from RNAcentral.
CUCUUUUUUCUUUUUAUUGUGAAAAGCUUCAAGCACACAUAGGAACGGAGCGUGUGGUACAAUAAGCCUGGCUUCAGCAGUCAAGUCUCAGCCAACCUUAUUCCAUCCACGCCCUCUUCCCCUUCCCUCAUCCCAGAUUACUCUGAAGCAAAUUUCAGACGUCAGUCAUUUCUUUUACAAACAUUUCAAUGUAUAACUCCAAAAAAUUUUUUUUGGCCACCUUCACUCCUCCUAAAACUAUUUAAUAACAGUAAUGCUUUUACUAUCAGCAAAUACCCAGUUAGUAUUCAGAUUUCUCUGGUUAUCUCAUAAAGCGUUUCUUUUUUUUUUUUUUGAGACGGAGUCUUGCUCUGUUGCCCAGGCUAGAGUGCGGUGGCAUGAUAUCAGCUCGCUGCAACCUCUGACUCCUGGCUAGUUAAAAUCAGGAUCCAAAUAAAGUUCGAAUGUUGCCAUCGGUUGGGAUUGCUUUUGUAUCUCUCCUAACCUGUAGGUUCUCUUCCCUUGUCUUUUUCUUCCUUUGCAAUUUAUUUGUUGAAGAAACUGGCUUGUUUGUUCUGUAGUUUCCUGUGGUCUGAAUUUUGGUUAUAGCAUCUCCAUAGAAGUGUCAUGUGCUCCUCUUCCCGCUAUAUUUCUUAGAAAUUGGUAGUUAGGCCUAGGAGAUAACUUAGAUUGAUGUUUGAUUUUUUUUUUUUUGUAUGAGUACUUCCUAUUGGUGGUUUUGUACUUCCAUUCAAAGGCACACACUAUCUGGUUGUUCCUCUUUGCAAUGUUAGCAGCUGUUGUUGAUGAUCAUUGUCUAGAUCCACAAUUUCUUCUUCUUUUUUUUUUUUUUUUUUGAGGGGUCUUGCUCUGUCACAUAGGUUAGAGUGCAGUGGUGCAAUCAUAGCUGACUGCAGCCUUGACCUCCUGGGCUCAAGGGAUCCUCCCACCUGAGCCUUCCAAACAGCUGGGACUACAGGCACAUGCCCAAACCUGGCUAAUUUUUUUUUUUUCUUUUUUUUUUGUAGAGACAGGAUCUUGUUGCAUAGACAGGUCUGUGUUGCCCAGGGUGGUCUUGAACUUCUGGCCUCAAACAAUCUUCCCAUCUCGGCCUCCGAAAGUGUUGGGAUUACAGGGAUGAGCCACUACACCUGGCCCAUUAUUUCAUUAGAUAUUACAACAUGGUGGCAUACUAAUUCUAUGAUUCUGUCUUUGGUAGUGGACAUAUGUCUAUAAAAGGUAUCAAUUUAUCAACUAUUUGGCUACCAAAAAGUAUGGUUUGUACCAAAAAGGAUAAAUGCUUCUUUCCCUUUCUUUGACAGUUUUCAAAAUGAGUUGGGUUUUCCAAUAUCCUCCCAUGGUGAUAAAUGAAUUUUUCUUUUUUUUUUUUUUUUUAAGUAUUGUCAACUCAUAGAUUUGGACAUAUAUGACAUGUUUCAAUCCAUUAAAGUCAUUCUUUUUUUUUUUUUUUUUUGAGAUGGGCGUCUUGCUCUGUCACCUAGGCUGGAGUGUAGUGGCACAAUCUUGGCUCACUGCAACUUCCGCCUCCUGGGUUCAAGCGAUUCUUCUGCCUCAGCCUCCCAAGUAGCUGGGAUUACAUGUGUAUGCCACCACACCCGGCUAAUUUUUUAUAUUUUUGGUAGAGAUGGG